RNAcentral lists this ribosomal RNA (253 nucleotides) under uncultured bacterium. RNAcentral describes it as "partial 16S ribosomal RNA". It matches the Rfam family "Bacterial small subunit ribosomal RNA", at positions 524 to 776 of the family's 1533-position model. The record is from RNAcentral. RNAcentral also lists the same sequence under 1 other name.
UACGAAAGGGGCUAGCGUUGUUCGGAAUUACUGGGCGUAAAGCGCACGUAGGCGGCCUUGUAAGAUGGGGGUGAAAUCCCCGGGCUCAACCCGGGAACUGCCUUCAUGACUGCAAAGCUAGAGGAUGCGAGAGGUUAGCGGAAUUCCGAGUGUAGAGGUGAAAUUCGUAGAUAUUCGGAAGAACACCAGUGGCGAAGGCGGCUAACUGGCGCAUUUCUGACGCUGAGGUGCGAAAGCGUGGGGAGCAAACAGG